GACGAACCGUGCGAACGUUAUUCGGAAUCACUGGGCUUAAAGCGCGUGUAGGCGGGCCGCCCCGUCGGCUGCUGAAAUCCCCCGGCUCAACCGGGGAACGGGCACCGAUACGAGCGGCCUCGAGGGGGGUAGGGGGGUCUGGAACUUCCGGUGGAGCGGUGAAAUGCGUAGAGAUCGGAAAGAACACCAACGGCGAAAGCACUCUGCUGGGCCGACACUGACACUGAGAGACGAAAGCUAGGGGAGCGAAUGGG
Molecule: ribosomal RNA, 254 nt
Filed under: uncultured bacterium
Lineage: Bacteria
Description: partial 16S ribosomal RNA
Rfam family: Bacterial small subunit ribosomal RNA
Source: RNAcentral